GUGAAAUGAUGAUGAAGUUUAUCCAUUCUCGGAGUGUUGCUGCUCUGCCCUUCCUGCCACAUCUGGAUUCCUGUUCUAGGGUCCUGAUGCUGUGUGGUCUCCAGACAGCCUCUGGCCUUGCAGUGUUCUGCUGAGGGCGAGGGGGCUGUUUGGCUGGCUUCUGGCUGGGCCUGGGCAGAGUGAGCAGGCCAGGGUCCCUUCCCGAGGGACUCUGACUCCGCCAAGAAGAAUGAAACUUUCUGAUCAC
Hemicordylus capensis (graceful crag lizard) is the source of this 247-nucleotide small nucleolar RNA. RefSeq annotates it as small nucleolar RNA SNORD17. The transcript has a single exon. The record is from RefSeq and is a predicted model, not a curated record. Lineage: Eukaryota; Metazoa; Chordata; Lepidosauria; Squamata; Cordylidae.